Molecule: non-coding RNA, 29 nt
Filed under: Rattus norvegicus (Norway rat)
Lineage: Eukaryota; Metazoa; Chordata; Mammalia; Rodentia; Muridae
Source: RNAcentral
UACAGUUUGAGAAUCUGGAUAGGUGACAG